RNAcentral lists this long non-coding RNA (467 nucleotides) under Homo sapiens (human). RNAcentral's name for it is "PREDICTED lncRNA (TCONS_00155832)". Lineage: Eukaryota; Metazoa; Chordata; Mammalia; Primates; Hominidae. The record is from RNAcentral.
CGGGAACGCGGCCGUGAGGGUGUGGGGUGUAGGUCCGCCAGGCCUGCAACGGCUGCCGAGGGUCGUGGGAUGCGCUCGCCGCGUCCCUGCUCAGGCGGAGGGAGCCCGGCCCGCCGCCAGGGUCUCGAGUCCGGGUCCAGGCAGGCGUGGAGGUGGCGGGAACGGCGCACCGCCCGGGAGUAUGACAACUUUUCAACUUGAGUGCACACACUGUCCCCGGAAUCCCGCGUUCCAGGGAGGAAGCGCCUUUGACAGCGCGCGCCGGUUCGUGGGGCCCGACGGCGUGGGCCUGUGGUUGCGGACCUGGCGGAGAUGCGCGUUCGCUUCGAUUGUAGGCCAUUCCUUUUAGGAGCUGAGAAAGGAUCCGUUUUUACAGCAUUCUCGACCUGUGAUUCUUGGUGGGGGAAACUAGUUAUGUGGAUAAAAAUACAGUUAGCAAAAUAAAAAUGCCAAUUUUACAUUUCCUU